GGGAACACAGUCCUUAAAGGACACGCAGCAGCAGUUGCCGGCUCGAGGGCAGCCCACAGGGACCAACAGGAGGCCACAGGUCCCGAAAGAUGGGAACCCCCCGGAGACUUCUGGAAAGACCCUUGAUGGAGAGCUGGAACAUGAAAUUGCUACACACUCCCUUCCUUCUUGCCCUUUCAUCUUCACAACAGGUUCACGCCUGAGGUGGCCAGAAUUUAUAAACUUCAGUGCUUUGGGGUUCAAAAGCAGUGAACCAGGAUUCCUCCAUUAAAUGAAAAGAUGGAGAAAGAACCGGACAGAUGAGGCCCGGUGGCAGUCAUGGCGCCCAUUUGGAUGCCCUCGGGCCCAUCGCAUCUCCCCUGCUUUGCACAAACACAAAUGCUCCAAUCCUAAGUCUUAGAACCCGCCAUCUGGAUGCAGACCUGGCCAGCGAAGUUUGAUCAGCCCACCCCCAGGCCUGGGUAGGUAAUCGCUGGCCUAGAGGGAUGUGCAGGGAGUGAAGGGGAGGUGUUACAUCAAAAUCUGGUAGUUGUCCUACUUAUAGGAAAAACACAAUUAUGAAAAAGGGGCUGGUGAACUGAGUCCAACCCUCUGAUCUCCUGG
Long non-coding RNA from Bos indicus x Bos taurus (hybrid cattle), 603 nucleotides. NCBI's taxonomy places the organism in Eukaryota, Metazoa, Chordata, Mammalia, Artiodactyla, Bovidae. The record is from Ensembl.